AUUGAACGCUGGCGGCAGGCCUAACACAUGCAAGUCGAGCGGCAGCGGGAAAGUAGCUUGCUACUUUUGCCGGCGAGCGGCGGACGGGUGAGUAAUGCCUGGGAAAUUGCCCAGUCGAGGGGGAUAACAGUUGGAAACGACUGCUAAUACCGCAUACGCCCUACGGGGGAAAGCAGGGGACCUUCGGGCCUGGCGCGAUUGGAUAUGCCCAGGUGGGAUUAGCUAGUUGGUGAGGUAAUGGCUCACCAAGGCGACGAUCCCUAGCUGGUCGGAGAGGAUGAUCAGCCACACUGGAACUGAGACACGGUCCAGACUCCUACGGGAGGCAGCAGUGGGGAAUAUUGCACAAUGGGGGAAACCCUGAUGCAGCCAUGCCGCGUGUGUGAAGAAGGCUUUCGGGUUGUAAAGCACUUUCAGCGAGGAGGAAAGGUUGAUGCCUAAUACGUAUCAACUGUGACGUUACUCGCAGAAGAAGCACCGGCUAACUCCGUGCCAGCCGCCGCGGUAA
This 508-nucleotide ribosomal RNA is filed under the name uncultured bacterium. RNAcentral's name for it is "partial 16S ribosomal RNA". It matches the Rfam family "Bacterial small subunit ribosomal RNA", at positions 30 to 523 of the family's 1533-position model. The record is from RNAcentral.